UUUCCGUAAGUGAACCUGCGGAAGGAUCAUUAUUGUAUAACCGAGGUGCGAGGGCUGUCGCUGACCCUAUAGGUCGUGCACGCCCGAGUGCCCUCACACACAUCCAUCUCACCCCUAUGUGCACCACCGCGUGGGUCCCCCUUUGGCUUGUUCGGAGGGGGGCUUACGUUUUCACACAAACUUUGUAUGCAGUGUAGAAUGUAUUUUUUGUUUUUGCGAUCACGCAAUCAAUACAACUUUCAACAACGGAUCUCUUGGCUCUC
This 263-nucleotide unclassified non-coding RNA is filed under the name plant metagenome. RNAcentral describes it as "partial contains small subunit ribosomal RNA, internal transcribed spacer 1, and 5.8S ribosomal RNA". The record is from RNAcentral.